This 434-nucleotide long non-coding RNA is filed under the name Lynx canadensis (Canada lynx). Its description in RNAcentral is "lncRNA (ENSLCNG00005004154.1)". The record is from RNAcentral. Lineage: Eukaryota; Metazoa; Chordata; Mammalia; Carnivora; Felidae.
UUGCUGAUCUGUAGUGUUUGCUGAUUUCCCUAAAUGUUUCCACAGUGGUCAAUUUCAAGAACUAAAAUGAAGUCACUUUACACAGAGCCGGGAAGAGGAGAGCAUAAUCCUCCUGACCAGUUGAGAUAUGCAACAUAUUUAACCAUCUGUUUGGCAAGAGCAUUUGAUCCAUCACAUUGGAAGCCUGACCAAUCAGAAUGUAUGCCCAAAUAAUCAAAAUGGACACCCAACCAGUCAAAUGGAUGCCUGACCAAUCUGAAUUAAAAGCCAACCAAUCAGAAUGAACACCUGACCCAUCAUAAUAAAUGAAGAGUAUACAGCCAAAUACUGGUCUCCCAUUUAUUAUUGAACUUGUCACUUGUGGAUUCUCCCCUCAAUUAGAUGGGAAGCAAACUGAGGGAAGGGAUCAUAUGAUAGAUCCCUUUGUAUUCUCC